This 405-nucleotide ribosomal RNA is filed under the name uncultured bacterium. Its description in RNAcentral is "partial 16S ribosomal RNA". It matches the Rfam family "Bacterial small subunit ribosomal RNA", at positions 28 to 526 of the family's 1533-position model. The record is from RNAcentral.
GAUGAACGCUGGCGGCGUGCCUAAUACAUGCAAGUCGAGCGAAGCGGGGACGGGUGAGUAACACGUGGAUAACCUCCUAUAAGACUGGGAUAACUUCGGGAAACCGGAGCUAAACCGGAUAAUUUUACAUGGAGCCGCGGUGCAUGAGCUAGUGGGUAAGUUAACGGCUUACCAAGGCAACGAUUCAUAGCCGACCUGAGAGGGUGAUCGGCCACACUGGAACGGAGACACGGUCCAGACUCCUACGGGAGGCAGCAGUAGGGAAUCUUCCGCAAUGGGCGAAAGCCUGACGGCGCAACGCCGCGUGUUUGAUGAAGGUCUUCGGAUCGUAAAACUCUGUUAUUAGGGAGGCGGUACCUAAUCAGAAAGCCACGGCUAACUACGUGCCAGCAGCCGCGGUAAUAC